Molecule: long non-coding RNA, 845 nt
Organism: Galleria mellonella (greater wax moth)
Lineage: Eukaryota; Metazoa; Arthropoda; Insecta; Lepidoptera; Pyralidae
Exons: 5
Source: RefSeq, a predicted model, not a curated record
AAUGAAACAAAUGACAUAUGACAGAUAACAUUUCUUCAUCGAUAACGUGUUAUAAUUACUGUUACUUUGUAACUUUAACGUUUUGUACCUUAAAAUAACGCUACUGUUUUUAGGGUCGCAUUUAGAAGUUAUGCGGUCGCAAAAAACGUACGCUGCGUGUACCGAAUGCGAUUGUAUUUAGAUUGGCGGUCUAUUUUUAACAGAUUAGAAGGGUGAGAUAGUGAGACAACAAACCGUAUUAAGUGAUGUGAGGUGAUUUAUAUAUCAUACAUCAAGAUAAAUAUAUAUCAACACGAUAAGGAUGUUUCAGUACUGUGUCCAGAUACGUAUAUAUUGGAUACUAAAUCAGAGCAACAGCAGGGCGUGCGCACGGAGAAAUGGCUGUAUUGUGCGCACGCGCAGUGGCCAACAUUACAGUCAAUUAUAGGACACCUGGGUAACCGGAGGUUCAUCGCCCAAAAUCACAAGAAAGUAAAGGUCAAGCAACCCAUAAAGGUAAAAAGCGAAGCUAGUUUGUCUCCAGUGCCGACCGGCAUAUCACUCUUCUAAACGGUGACUUCCUUCAUAGUUCACCCCACUUUAUGAGUCGGCACUAAUUUUGCAGUAUCAGAAAUUUUGAUCCUGGGUUGUCGCAUCAGAUUGUAGUCAAAUCAGGGGCCGUGACGACAACAAUGGUUCAGGACCCCUGGCCGUUUGUACUUUCGCUGUACCGCCGCCGCGUCGACCAAUCACAGUGCGCAGUGACGUCACCAGUCCAGUAACUGCCAACGUUUUUGUACUCAUUAUGCGAGAGUAACAAUUGACCUAUCAUGUACAUAUACCUAUUUAUUGUAAUAAAACAUUUG